RNAcentral lists this ribosomal RNA (274 nucleotides) under uncultured bacterium. Its description in RNAcentral is "partial 16S ribosomal RNA". It matches the Rfam family "Bacterial small subunit ribosomal RNA", at positions 523 to 796 of the family's 1533-position model. The record is from RNAcentral.
AGACGAGGGGUGCUAGCGUUGUUCGGAAUCAUUGGGCGUAAAGCGCAUGCAGGCGGCUAAGACAGUCAGACGUGAAAUCCCUGGGCUCAACCCAGGACGUGCGUUUGAUACUUCUUAGCUUGAAUGUCGAAGAGGUUCGUGGAAUUCCAGGUGUAGCGGUGAAAUGCGUAGAUAUCUGGAGGAACAUCGGUGGGGAAGCCGGCGGACUGGUCGAACAUUGACGCUCAGAUGCGAAAGCGUGGGGAGCAAACAGGAUUAGAAACCCGUGUAGUCC